Molecule: ribosomal RNA, 492 nt
Filed under: uncultured bacterium
Lineage: Bacteria
Description: partial 16S ribosomal RNA
Rfam family: Bacterial small subunit ribosomal RNA
Source: RNAcentral
AGUGAACGCUGGCGGUAGGCCUAACACAUGCAAGUCGAACGGCAGCACAGUAAGAGCUUGCUCUUACGGGUGGCGAGUGGCGGACGGGUGAGGAAUACAUCGGAAUCUACUUUUUCGUGGGGGAUAACGUAGGGAAACUUACGCUAAUACCGCAUACGACCUACGGGUGAAAGCAGGGGAUCUUCGGACCUUGCGCGAUUGAAUGAGCCGAUGUCGGAUUAGCUAGUUGGCGGGGUAAAGGCCCACCAAGGGGACGAUCCGUAGCUGGUCUGAGAGGAUGAUCAGCCACACUGGAACUGAGACACGGUCCAGACUCCUACGGGAGGCGGCAGUGGGGAAUAUUGGACAAUGGGCGCAAGCCUGAUCCAGCCAUACCGCGUGGGUGAAGAAGGCCUUCGGGUUGUAAAGCCCUUUUGUUGGGAAAGAAAAGCAGCAGGUUAAUACCCCGCUGUUCUGACGGUACCCAAAGAAUAAGCACCGGCUAACUUCGUG